Molecule: unclassified non-coding RNA, 113 nt
Filed under: soil metagenome
Description: partial internal transcribed spacer 1
Source: RNAcentral
AUGAUUGACCGAAAGGUCUUAUCAACUAUCCAACACCUCUUGUGAACCGUUGACCUCCGGGUCUCAAUUACAAACAUCAGUGUAACGAACGUCUUGUUAUCUUAACAAAAACA